This 402-nucleotide ribosomal RNA is filed under the name uncultured Bradyrhizobiaceae bacterium. Its description in RNAcentral is "partial 16S ribosomal RNA". It matches the Rfam family "Bacterial small subunit ribosomal RNA", at positions 355 to 774 of the family's 1533-position model. RNAcentral also lists the same sequence under 1 other name. Lineage: Bacteria; Pseudomonadati; Pseudomonadota; Alphaproteobacteria; Hyphomicrobiales; Nitrobacteraceae. The record is from RNAcentral.
UGGGGAAUAUUGGACAAUGGGCGCAAGCCUGAUCCAGCCAUGCCGCGUGAGUGAUGAAGGCCCUAGGGUUGUAAAGCUCUUUUGUGCGGGAAGAUAAUGACGGUACCGCAAGAAUAAGCCCCGGCUAACUUCGUGCCAGCAGCCGCGGUAAUACGAAGGGGGCUAGCGUUGCUCGGAAUCACUGGGCGUAAAGGGUGCGUAGGCGGGUCUUUAAGUCAGGGGUGAAAUCCUGGAGCUCAACUCCAGAACUGCCCUUGAUACUGAGGAUCUUGAGUUCGGGAGAGGUGAGUGGAACUGCGAGUGUAGAGGUGAAAUUCGUAGAUAUUCGCAAGAACACCAGUGGCGAAGGCGGCUCACUGGCCCGAUACUGACGCUGAGGCACGAAAGCGUGGGGAGCAAACA